GUGAGGAAUAUUGGACAAUGGGCGCAAGCCUGAUCCAGCCAUGCCGCGUGCAGGAAGACGCAUCUAUGGUGUGUAAACUGCUUUUGUACGGGAAGAAACACUCCCUCGUGAGGGAGCUUGACGGUACCGUAAGAAUAAGGAUCGGCUAACUCCGUGCCAGCAGCCGCGGUAAUACGGAGGAUCCAAGCGUUAUCCGGAAUCAUUGGGUUUAAAGGGUCCGUAGGCGGUUUAAUAAGUCAGUGGUGAAAGACCAUCGCUCAACGAUGGAACGGCCAUUGAUACUGUUAGACUUGAAUUACAAGGAAGUAACUAGAAUAUGUAGUGUAGCGGUGAAAUGCUUAGAUAUUACAUGGAAUACCAAUUGCGAAGGCAGGUUACUACUUGUGGAUUGACGCUGAUGGACGAAAGCGUGGGGAGCGAACAGGAUUAGAAACCCCUGUAGUCC
RNAcentral lists this ribosomal RNA (445 nucleotides) under uncultured bacterium. RNAcentral's name for it is "partial 16S ribosomal RNA". It matches the Rfam family "Bacterial small subunit ribosomal RNA", at positions 354 to 796 of the family's 1533-position model. The record is from RNAcentral.